GACAAUAUAAGACUAUCAGUGCUUUACUAAUCAAUCAUAAUUCAUUUUCGCGGAGGAUAAAGAAUCGCCUAUAUGCCUGUGAGUAUUGUUAUCUUCACAUCUAUGAUGUUUGCUAUUAUUCGUUAGCAUUAAGUUAGCGGGGGAUCCUCCCAUUUGUGGUCUCUUCUCAAGGUUUCUUAUUUUUCCCCAGUAGGGGUUUUUGAGUUUUUCCUUGCCCUCCUGGGAGUUAAGAUCAGGGGAUGUUGAAAAUAAUUGUCAAUUUUGCAUAUGAGAAGCUCUUUGAGACUUGUCUGUGAUUUAGGGCUAUGUAAAUAAACUUGACUUGUUCUCAUCUUGACAAAUGUGUAAGUCAGGUCACUCGUAUCUCAAGGCACCGCUUUACCAGCAGAUUACUGCCAACAAAAUUUCAGGUAGUCAUCAAAUACGCCACAACAACCCACAGAAUAAAUGAUAGGCGACUGUGAUUAGAAAUAAAUAAAUAUAUCAAAAAACAAAAUGCCUGAUGUUUCAUGUAGACAUGCAUCACAAGCACACUCUCUGCACGUCAAACACUCAAGUGUGUGAAAACUAGUACUACACACACUGGCUCUAAAGAUACGCAUGUAUCUAAAUUUUCUCCAGAUAUACACACACAUUGAGUCUGCUCUAGAAUACUGUUAUAUUGGUGCACACCCUCUCCCCACUUCAAAAAGGAAC
Long non-coding RNA from Syngnathus acus (greater pipefish), 696 nucleotides. RefSeq lists it as uncharacterized. NCBI's taxonomy places the organism in Eukaryota, Metazoa, Chordata, Actinopteri, Syngnathiformes, Syngnathidae. The record is from RefSeq and is a predicted model, not a curated record. The transcript has 3 exons.